This 465-nucleotide ribosomal RNA is filed under the name Vreelandella stevensii. RNAcentral describes it as "partial 16S ribosomal RNA". It matches the Rfam family "Bacterial small subunit ribosomal RNA", at positions 338 to 795 of the family's 1533-position model. The record is from RNAcentral. Lineage: Bacteria; Pseudomonadati; Pseudomonadota; Gammaproteobacteria; Oceanospirillales; Halomonadaceae.
CCUACGGGUGGCUGCAGUGGGGAAUAUUGGACAAUGGGCGAAAGCCUGAUCCAGCCAUGCCGCGUGUGUGAAGAAGGCCUUCGGGUUGUAAAGCACUUUCAGUGGGGAAGAAAGCCUUGGGGCUAAUACCCUCGAGGAAGGACAUCACCCACAGAAGAAGCACCGGCUAACUCCGUGCCAGCAGCCGCGGUAAUACGGAGGGUGCGAGCGUUAAUCGGAAUUACUGGGCGUAAAGCGCGCGUAGGCGGUCUGAUAAGCCGGUUGUGAAAGCCCCGGGCUCAACCUGGGAACGGCAUCCGGAACUGUCAGGCUAGAGUGCAGGAGAGGAUGGUAGAAUUCCCGGUGUAGCGGUGAAAUGCGUAGAGAUCGGGAGGAAUACCAGUGGCGAAGGCGGCCUUCUGGACUGACACUGACGCUGAGGUGCGAAAGCGUGGGUAGCAAACAGGAUUAGAUACCCCGGUAGUC